UACGUAGGGGGCAAGCGUUGUCCGGAUUCAUUGGGCGUAAAGCGCGUGUAGGCGGCUCGAUAAGUCUGCUGUGAAAGUCCAGGGCUCAACCCUGGGAUGCCGGUGGAUACUGUCGAGCUCGAGUCCGGAAGAGGCGAGUGGAAUUCCUGGUGUAGCGGUGAAAUGCGCAGAUAUCAGGAGGAACACCAAGGGCGAAGGCAGCUCGCUGGGACGGGACUGACGCUGAGACGCGAAAGCGUGGGGAGCAAACAGG
This 253-nucleotide ribosomal RNA is filed under the name uncultured bacterium. Its description in RNAcentral is "partial 16S ribosomal RNA". It matches the Rfam family "Bacterial small subunit ribosomal RNA", at positions 524 to 776 of the family's 1533-position model. The record is from RNAcentral.